RNAcentral lists this ribosomal RNA (497 nucleotides) under uncultured bacterium. Its description in RNAcentral is "partial 16S ribosomal RNA". It matches the Rfam family "Bacterial small subunit ribosomal RNA", at positions 28 to 507 of the family's 1533-position model. The record is from RNAcentral.
GACGAACGCUGGCGGCGUGCCUAACACAUGCAAGUCGAGCGAACGGACCAGAAGUUUGCGGCGCGGAUGUUAGCGGCGGACGGGAGAGUAACACGUGUAUAACCUACCUAUAAGACUGGUAUAAUUACGGGAAACCGGAGCUAAUAGCGGAGGAUAUUUUGCACCGCGGUGUGCAAAAGUGAGAUACGGUCUUUGGGGCAGUUAUAGAGGGAUCCGCGCUGGAUGAGCUAGUUGGUAAGGUAAAGGCUUACCAAGGCUAGGAUGCAUAGACGACCUGAGAGAGUGAUCGGCCACACUGGAGGUGAGGCGCGGACCCGACUCCUGCGGGAAGCCGCAGUAGGGAAUCUUACGCAAUGGGCGAGAGCCUGGCAGAGCAACGCGGCGUGAGUGAUGACAAUGUUCGGAUCGUGAAGCUCUGUUAUUAGGGGAGAACAUAUGUGUCCGUAACUGUGCAGAUCUUGACGGUACCUAAUCAGAAAGCCCCGGCUAACUACGUG